GACGUAGGGCGCGAGCGUUGUCCGGAAUUAUUGGGCGUAAAGAGCUCGUAGGCGGCUUGUCGCGUCGACUGUGAAAACCCGCGGCUCAACCGUGUGGCUUGCAGUUGAUACGGGCAGGCUAGAGUUCGGUAGGGGAGACUGGAAUUCCUGGUGUAGCGGUGAAAUGCGCAGAUAUCAGGAGGAACACCGGUGGCGAAGGCGGGUCUCUGGGCCGAUACUGACGCUGAGGAGCGAAAGCGUGGGGAGCAAACAGG
This 254-nucleotide ribosomal RNA is filed under the name uncultured bacterium. RNAcentral's name for it is "partial 16S ribosomal RNA". It matches the Rfam family "Bacterial small subunit ribosomal RNA", at positions 524 to 776 of the family's 1533-position model. The record is from RNAcentral.